Molecule: ribosomal RNA, 592 nt
Filed under: uncultured bacterium
Lineage: Bacteria
Description: bacterial SSU rRNA
Rfam family: Bacterial small subunit ribosomal RNA
Source: RNAcentral
UACUCCUACGGGAGGCAGCAGUGGGGAAUAUUGGACAAUGGGCGCAAGCCUGAUCCAGCCAUACCGCGUGGGUGAAGAAGGCCUUCGGGUUGUAAAGCCCUUUUGUUGGGAAAGAAAUCCAGCUGGCUAAUACCCGGUUGGGAUGACGGUACCCAAAGAAUAAGCACCGGCUAACUUCGUGCCAGCAGCCGCGGUAAUACGAAGGGUGCAAGCGUUACUCGGAAUUACUGGGCGUAAAGCGUGCGUAGGUGGUCGUUUAAGUCCGUUGUGAAAGCCCUGGGCUCAACCUGGGAACUGCAGUGGAUACUGGACGACUAGAGUGUGGUAGAGGGUAGCGGAAUUCCUGGUGUAGCAGUGAAAUGCGUAGAGAUCAGGAGGAACAUCCAUGGCGAAGGCAGCUACCUGGACCAACACUGACACUGAGGCACGAAAGCGUGGGGAGCAAACAGGAUUAGAUACCCUGGUAGUCCACGCCCUAAACGAUGCGAACUGGAUGUUGGGUGCAAUUUGGCACGCAGUAUCGAAGCUAACGCGUUAAGUUCGCCGCCUGGGGAGUACGGUCGCAAGACUGAAACUCAAAGGAAUUGACGGA